AGAUUGAACGCUGGCGGCAGGCCUAACACAUGCAAGUCGAGCGGUAGAGAGGUGCUUGCAUCUCUUGAGAGCGGCGGACGGGUGAGUAAUGCCUAGGAAUCUGCCUAGUGGUGGGGGAUAACGUUCGGAAACGGACGCUAAUACCGCAUACCGUCCUACGGGAGAAAGCGGGGGACCUUCGGGCCUCGCGCCGUUAGAUGAGCCUAGGUCGGAUUAGCUAGUUGGUGAGGUAAUGGCUCACCAAGGCGACGAUCCGUAACUGGUCUGAGAGGAUGAUCAGUC
This 282-nucleotide ribosomal RNA is filed under the name uncultured soil bacterium. Its description in RNAcentral is "partial 16S ribosomal RNA". It matches the Rfam family "Bacterial small subunit ribosomal RNA", at positions 26 to 309 of the family's 1533-position model. The record is from RNAcentral.